UAGCCUGCAUGUCUAAGUAUAAGCACUUUAUACUGGGAAACUGGCAAUGGGUUAUUUAAUCCAGUAUUGGUUAUUUGAUUGGACCUUACUUCCUGGAUACCUGGGGGAAUUCUAGAGCUUAUUCCUGCUAAAAACCCCGACUUUCGGAGGGGGGGAUUUAUUUGAUAAAAACCCAAGGCCCUUGGGGGUUCCUGGGGGAUCAAUAAUACCUUACCAAAUCGAUUGGCCUUGCCCCGGCAAUGGUUAUUUCAAAUUUUGGCCUUAUAAACUUUCAAGGGUGGAAUAGGGGCCUCCCAUGGGGGCACCGGUUACCGGGGAAUUAGGGUUCAAUUCCGAAAAGGAACCCUGAAAAACGGUUCCCAAAUCCAAGGAAGGCACCAGGGCCCCAAAAAUCCCCACCCCCAAAACCGGGA
Molecule: ribosomal RNA, 413 nt
Filed under: Aspergillus sp. RF11
Lineage: Eukaryota; Fungi; Ascomycota; Eurotiomycetes; Eurotiales; Aspergillaceae
Description: partial 18S ribosomal RNA
Rfam family: Eukaryotic small subunit ribosomal RNA
Source: RNAcentral